UACGUAGGGUGCAAGCGUUGUCCGGAAUUAUUGGGCGUAAAGAGCUCGUAGGCGGUCUGUUGCGUCGGCUGUGAAAACCCGGGGCUCAACCCCGGGCCUGCAGCCGAUACGGGCAGACUAGAGUUCGGCAGGGGAGACUGGAAUUCCUGGUGUAGCGGUGAAAUGCGCAGAUAUCAGGAGGAACACCGGUGGCGAAGGCGGGUCUCUGGGCCGAUACUGACACUGAGGAGCGAAAGCGUGGGGAGCGAACAGG
Molecule: ribosomal RNA, 253 nt
Filed under: uncultured bacterium
Lineage: Bacteria
Description: partial 16S ribosomal RNA
Rfam family: Bacterial small subunit ribosomal RNA
Source: RNAcentral